Molecule: long non-coding RNA, 260 nt
Filed under: Musa acuminata (dwarf banana)
Lineage: Eukaryota; Viridiplantae; Streptophyta; Magnoliopsida; Zingiberales; Musaceae
Description: long non-coding RNA (MACU_LNC004622)
Source: RNAcentral
AGAUUUAUUUAUAAAUCGGAGGACCUAUAUGUAAAUAUAGAAAUUUCAAGGACUAAACUGUUAAGUUGUAAAAAGAAGAAAAUAAAGAAAACCGAAGAGAAGUAGAGGGAGAAGAGAAGAAGAGGGAAAAGAAGAGAGGAAGAAGAGGGAAGAUGGAGAGGAGAAAGAGAGGCAGCUGCAGCAGCUAGGGCUGCAGCACCUCUGUUUCCCGCAGCGGGAAACAGAGGAGAGGAUGUGUGGGGCGUUGAGGAUGAAAAGGG